GACGAACGCUGGCGGCGCGCCUAACACAUGCAAGUCGAACGGAGUCAAGAGGAGCUUGCUUUUCUUGACUUAGUGGCGAACGGGUGAGUAACGCGUGAGUAACCUGCCCUGGAGUGGGGGACAACAGUUGGAAACGACUGCUAAUACCGCAUAAGCCCACGGAUCCGCAUGGAUCUGCGGGAAAAGGAUUUAUUCGCUUCAGGAUGGACUCGCGUCCAAUUAGCUAGUUGGUGAGGUAACGGCCCACCAAGGCGACGAUUGGUAGCCGGACUGAGAGGUUGAACGGCCACAUUGGGACUGAGACACGGCCCAGACUCCUACGGGAGGCAGCAGUAGGGGAUAUUGCACAAUGGGGGAAACCCUGAUGCAGCGACGCCGCGUGGAGGAAGAAGGUUUUCGGAUUGUAAACUCCUGUCGUUAGGGGCGAUAAUGACGGUACCUAACAAGAAAGCACCGGCUAACUACGUG
Molecule: ribosomal RNA, 468 nt
Filed under: uncultured bacterium
Lineage: Bacteria
Description: partial 16S ribosomal RNA
Rfam family: Bacterial small subunit ribosomal RNA
Source: RNAcentral